UUUCCGUAGGUGAACCUGCGGAAGGAUCAUUCAUAAUAAAGUGUUUUAUGGCACUUUUUAGAAAUCCAUAUCUACCUUCUUUGCAAUGUUAGAUAUCCUCAAUCUUGGCGAGAUUUUUUUAAAUCAACUCUCUCUUGAACUAAUUUGUUUGAAAAAUAUUAUGAAUACUUAAUACAAAAUACAACUUUCAACAACGGAUCUCUUGGUUCCG
RNAcentral lists this unclassified non-coding RNA (211 nucleotides) under plant metagenome. RNAcentral's name for it is "partial contains small subunit ribosomal RNA, internal transcribed spacer 1, and 5.8S ribosomal RNA". The record is from RNAcentral.